RNAcentral lists this ribosomal RNA (644 nucleotides) under Coprinopsis strossmayeri. RNAcentral's name for it is "eukaryotic LSU rRNA". It matches the Rfam family "Eukaryotic large subunit ribosomal RNA", at positions 1 to 626 of the family's 3401-position model. Lineage: Eukaryota; Fungi; Basidiomycota; Agaricomycetes; Agaricales; Psathyrellaceae. The record is from RNAcentral.
UUGACCUCAAAUCAGGUAAGACUACCCGCUGAACUUAAGCAUAUCAAUAAGCGGAGGAAAAGAAACUAACAAGGAUUCCCCUAGUAACUGCGAGUGAAGCGGGAAAAGCUCAAAUUUAAAAUCUGGCGGCCUUUGGCUGUCCGAGUUGUAAUCUAGAGAAGUGUUACCCGCGUCGGACCGUGUAUAAGUCUCCUGGAAUGGAGCGUCAUAGAGGGUGAGAAUCCCGUCUUUGACACGGACUACCGAGGCUUUUGUGGUGCGCUCUCAACGAGUCGAGUUGUUUGGGAAUGCAGCUCAAAAUGGGUGGUAAAUUCCAUCUAAAGCUAAAUAUUGGCGAGAGACCGAUAGCGAACAAGUACCGUGAGGGAAAGAUGAAAAGAACUUUGGAAAGAGAGUUAAACAGUACGUGAAAUUGCUGAAAGGGAAACGCUUGAAGUCAGUCGCGUUGGCCGGAAAUCAACCUUGCUUCUGCUGGGUGUACUUUCUGGUUAACGGGCCAGCAUCAGUUUUGACCGGUGGAAAAAGUCUAAGGGAAUGUGGCAUCUUUGGAUGUGUUAUAGCCCUUGGUCGUAUACAUCGGUUGGGACUGAGGAAUUCAGCACGCCGCAAGGCCGGGUCUUUGACCACGUUCGUGCUUAGGAUGC